UUCUUUCCUGGAAGAAUGUUGUUGCGAUAGACCCUGCAUGAAAAACACCAGGGAAUCUGUAUUUAAGUGACCUUAAUAUUAUGCGUAAACCUAAGUGUGCAUUUGUAGGCGGUGUCGAAAUGGGUCUAUAGCUCUGCCUGAACUGUCGUCCAAUUGGUUUACAAGUCCGGCUGAAGUGACAGGCCAUCAAAAACUGUACAGUGUGACUGAUUCGGAGACGGCCCUCAACACUCGCCCAGUCGUGUCGAGAGGAUCGGUGUCUUUGCAGAUUACACGGAAUUGAGCACCCGGGCCAGACUGACACUUUCCGGAGCCUGCCCUAGACGGAACUCGAGCCGAGGAAUCAUAGGUCCAGGCGGUGUCGAAAUGGGUCUAUAGCUCUGCCUGAACUGUCGUCCAAUUGGUUUACAAGUCCGGCUGAAGUGACAGGCCAUCAAAAACUGUACAGUGUGACUGAUUCGGAGACGGCCCUCAACACUCGCCCAGUCGUGUCGAGAGGAUCGGUGUCUUUGCAGAUUACACGGAAUUGAGCACCCGGGCCAGACUGACACUUUCCGGAGCCUGCCCUAGACGGAACUCGAGCCGAGGAAUCAUAGGUCCAGGCGGUGUCGAAAUGGGUCUAUAGCUCUGCCUGAACUGUCGUCCAAUUGGUUUACAAGUCCGGCUGAAGUGACAGGCCAUCAAAAACUGUACAGUGUGACUGAUUCGGAGACGGCCCUCAACACUCGCCCAGUCGUGUCGAGAGGAUCGGUGUCUUUGCAGAUUACACGGAAUUGAGCACCCGGGCCAGACUGACACUUUCCGGAGCCUGCCCUAGACGGAACUCGAGCCGAGGAAUCAUAGGUCCAGGCGGUGUCGAAAUGGGUCUAUAGCUCUGCCUGAACUGUCGUCCAAUUGGUUUACAAGUCCGGCUGAAGUGACAGGCCAUCAAAAACUGUACAGUGUGACUGAUUCGGAGACGGCCCUCAACACUCGCCCAGUCGUGUCGAGAGGAUCGGUGUCUUUGCAGAUUACACGGAAUUGAGCACCCGGGCCAGACUGACACUUUCCGGAGCCUGCCCGAGACGGAACUCGAGCCGAGGAAUCAUAGGUCCAGGCGGUGUCGAAAUGGGUCUAUAGCUCUGCCUGAACUGUCGUCCAAUUGGUUUACAAGUCCGGCUGAAGUGACAGGCCAUCAAAAACUGUACAGUGUGACUGAUUCGGAGACGGCCCUCAACACUCGCCCAGUCGUGUCGAGAGGAUCGGUGUCUUUGCAGAUUACACGGAAUUGAGCACCCGGGCCAGACUGACACUUUCCGGAGCCUGCCCGAGACGGAACUCGAGCCGAGGAAUCAUAGGUCCAGGCGGUGUCGAAAUGGGUCUAUAGCUCUGCCUGAACUGUCGUCCAAUUGGUUUACAAGUCCGGCUGAAGUGACAGGCCAUCAAAAACUGUACAGUGUGACUGAUUCGGAGACGGCCCUCAACACUCGCCCAGUCGUGUCGAGAGGAUCGGUGUCUUUGCAGAUUACACGGAAUUGAGCACCCGGGCCAGACUGACACUUUCCGGAGCCUGCCCGAGACGGAACUCGAGCCGAGGAAUCAUAGGUCCAGGCGGUGUCGAAAUGGGUCUAUAGCUCUGCCUGAACUGUCGUCCAAUUGGUUUACAAGUCCGGCUGAAGUGACAGGCCAUCAAAAACUGUACAGUGUGACUGAUUCGGAGACGGCCCUCAACACUCGCCCAGUCGUGUCGAGAGGAUCGGUGUCUUUGCAGAUUACACGGAAUUGAGCACCCGGGCCAGACUGACACUUUCCGGAGCCUGCCCGAGACGGAACUCGAGCCGAGGAAUCAUAGGUCCAGGUGUGACAAAAGACUUAAAGCUCAUGUCUGACGAUGACUUUUUUUAGUCAGGAAGUCAAGUGUGUUGUUUUUCCAUGCAAGCGAGCCCUUUUGUUGGGUCAAAUGACAUCAGAAUUGCUGCUUCUACAUGGAUUUAACCUAAAAUGUGCAAAAAAAAUAUAAAAAGUUUGUUCGAAUCCAGUUCAAAACCUGCUUUGAUGCACAAAUAUUGCCAUUGAUGAUUUUUUUCACUUAUUAAGCCAUAUGUAAGAUCAGCUUUGCCUAUUAGAAUCGAAAGACAUGCCUUGUAUGGAGUCUAAGUGCUGCAUGUAUGAUGUAACCGAGUUUGGCUUUUCUACCUUAAUUCUUGACGCGAAACGCUGUUACGCAUGGCGCUUUCAACGGCAACUUUUAUGAAUUAAUCUGUGUGUCAUUGUACCGGAACUUUGUGAUCUUUCUCAAAACAGAUUAUACCUGUGGGAAAAGUGCCUUUAAUUUAAAUUUGAAGGGGUUGGGUUCUCUUAAAGGUCACAUAACCCCAAACCGGAACUCCUGUUUUUAGGGUUACAUGCAGUCAGUUUGAUACUUAGCACACAUUGUUGAGUGCAUGCUGCCUAGGAUUUGUAAAAUACAUUGCAAAUGGUUGGUUUUGGUAUCAACUUGAAGGUAUAUUUGUAAGCAAUAAGAAAAUAAGCCAUUUUUGUGCUCUACUUUUUGUGUUGAUGGUUCCCGGCUUUGAAAGUAGGUCAUACUAUUUGAGCCCAAAAUGGUUGUCUGCACAGCUGUCAAAACCGGUUUGCCUAUUCUAAGGUAAAUAUUUUGAGUUUGCGCGUAUAGAAUUUAAUGACAUGCAUUUUUUUCAAAAGAUUAUGCAUUAAUCUUUCCAAUGAUGUAUGAUGAUAUAGUGGGUAUGCGCUUCAUCAUGGUAAAAAUUGAUAUCGAACUUCAACUAUUUUAUAUGUAAUAUAGAAGGAAAUUAAUUGCGCAUGCGUAACCUACAGUAGCUCCCAGUAGGGUGCUGUUUUCUUACAUCCGGUCUAAAUGUGUUCUCAUGUAAACAAGUAAACACGGAUACAAAAGUGAAAUUUUAUGAUACAGUACCGUUGGAUUGCCAGGCAUGAAUAGGCAAAUCGAACAACGAUUGAAUUGUAAGUCGACUCAUUCAAUUUAUGGAUUAAAAGGAGGCGAAAUUAGGGGAAUGUCAAGUUUGUUAACCUACAAUAUGAAGUAAAUACGAUCUAGGUCACAUCCUCGUCAGCCUAAGAUUCCUGGCGAAAGGCGCAUUUUACUCAGAAUUGGCAGACACACAUGGGAUCAGCAGAUCAAGUGUAUCGAGAACCGUUCAUGCCUUUGUUGAGUCUGUCAACAAUAACUUGGAUAACAUUAGGUUUCCAAUGAACAGAGAAGACAUUGUCAAAGAGAAGAGGGCAUUUUACGACAAAUGUAGAUUUCCAAAUCUUGUUGGAGCAGUGGAUGGGACCUUAAUCCCAAUCACUACUCCAACUGUAGAUGAGGAAGUCUACAUUUGUCGUAAAGGUUAUCACGCCAUCAACUGCCAGGCCAUAGUUAACACCAGUUUGAAGUUUAUUGAUGUUGUUGCGAGAUGGCCGGCGUCUACCCAUGAUGGAGCGGUUUUUGAAAAUUCAAGAAUUAAGGGGCAUCUUGAUGCUACAGCAAAUGUCAUACUCCUGGGUGACAGUGGCUAAGCCCUGAGUCCUUCCCUACUCACCCCCAUAAGGAAUCCCCGUACCCAACAGGAAGAGCGGUACAACCGCAGACACAAGAGGGGUCGGGAAGUUGUUGAACGGGGAUUUGGAAUAUUAAAGUCAAGAUUCAGAUGUCUACAUCGAUCAGGGGGUGUUCUGCCCUAUAAGCCACAUCAGUGUGCGGCCUUGUUUGUUGCGUGCUGCCGCCUGCAUAAUCUUCUGAUGGAAAAUGGGGAUGAACAAGAAGUCGAUGCUGAUGUACGGGAGGAUGAUGACAAUGAUGAUGACCGUGUUGAAGUUGAACACAAUCAACGUGGUGCUGCUGUUCGGGAGUUUUAUGUUAAUCUAAAUUAACAUUCUUUUUUAUUUUAAAGGUGAUAUGAGAUUACAGGGCCGGGGACAUAGACAAAACAAGUCUAUAAAAUGUGUGCUUAUUUACAUCUGAUAAAGACAAAACAAGUCUAUAAAAUGUGUGUUCACUUACAUCUUAUAAAAACAAAACAAGUCUAUAAAAUGUGUGUUCAUUUACAUCUGAAAAAGACAAAACAAGUCUAUAAAAUGUCUGAAUGAGACAUAGCUGAUUAAAUAUGUUUUGGGGCUGGGGGACAUAGCUGAUAUUAUAGCUUAAGGGCCAUGUGAUUUAGCUGAUUAUAUAGGUUCUUGGGCCGGGGGACAUAGCUGAUAUCAUAGGUUUUGGGGUUAUGGAACAUAGCUGAUAUUAUAGGUUUGGGGGCUGUCGUGCAUGUGUCGUCAGCAAUUACCUUGUUAACCGUCUAGAAGCCACAUUUAUUUUCAAUUACCAUAAAUCUUGGUCAGAAGAUUUGUAUGAGUGAACUCUCGGUCAAGUUUGAAACUGGGUGACCUCGGGUCAAAAACUAGGUCACCAGAUCAAAUUGAAGAAAAAAGCUUGUUAAAGCUCUAGAAGCCACAUUUAUAGCCCAAUUAGCAUACAUCUUGGUCAGAACAUUUUAUCGACUGAAAUCACAACAUUUUUUGUUUUAGUUUGACUUUGUAGCUCAACUAUUAUAUAUGAAAUAUAUAUACAUGUAGUUGAGCUAUAGCCUAUCCUACUCACCCUGGUGUUUGCAUCUGCUUGAGCGUUGGAAUGUUAAAGUUUGCGUACCACUUCAAAUAUUUUUUAUGUCCCUUGACAUAUUGCUUUUAUAUUUUGCAUACUUUUUUACCAACAUGACCCCAACCUGUAAACAUAAGCAGACAACUGUAUCAAGCAUUUUGUAAGAAUAAUUGCCCUUUUUUCACUUAGUUGAAUAUGACCUUGAAUUUUGAAUGACCUUGACUCAAGGUAAAAUUAAUAAAUCAAAGCUGAAUUAUGAUAAUGCACCUUUAAAAUUAAUGUUCACUAUAGCCACUCAAGAUGCUGUAAUGUUUAAUUUAGCGAAUUGUUUAAAUUGCCUUAUGCACAUCACUGCAUUAGUGUAAGGCGGUAGCUUUGAUGUAGAUUUCUGCUUCUAUUGGUAUCAGUUAAAAGUUGUUUUUUAUUGUUACACUAUAAUUGUAAAUGUAUUCAGUGUUCACUUUUUUAUUUCUAAAAUAUUGCUUUUAAUCAUAUAGAAUGUUUCUUCAAAUUUUUUUGUCUUGAUUGUACCUGUACAAUGUUUUCCAAAAUAACACUCAGAUUCAAACACUCAUAUAUACAUAAUACAAUAUGUAAACAUAAUAAAAAUGAACAGAACAAUUCAUACCUUAUUGCUCGUCUCAACAUUUUUUAUUGCAUUGCAUGAAACAUAAGACAUGUUUAUCACAUUUACCAACAAAAAUAAUAAUAAAAUGCAAUGCCCUGGAUUAAUAAAAAUUUUCAAAAGAUCAGUGGAUUUAUAUAUUUAUGCCCCCCUUCGAAGAAGAGGUGGUAUAUUGUUUUGCGCAUGUCGGUCCGUUGGUCCGUCCGUCCACCAUAUGGUUUCCGAACGAUAACUCAAGAACGCCUAGGCCUAGAAUAAUGAAAAUUCAUAGGUACAUUGAUCAUGACAGGCAGGUGACCCCUUUCGAUUUUCAGGUCACUAGGUCAAAGGUCACAGUGACUCACAACAGUAAAACGGUUUCCGGAUGAUAACUCAAGAAUGCUUACGCCUAGGAUCAUGAAUCUUCAUAUGUACAUUGAUCAAAUGCUAGAUCUGCAUCAUGAUUUUCUUUGCAAUUGGUAAUGUUUACAUUAUUACUACCUUCUCCUCCAAAACUGACAAAUGCAGUUUUUUGGGAAGAGCUGCCUCCCCAGAACUCUCCAUAAACCGCCGCCUCUUGACAUCCUUCAUGAUGGUCCGGCUCUAACAGGAAUAAAAGAUAAUGUGAAAUAAUUUAUUUAUAAAAUUAAUGCUCUCCCUCCUCUGAAUGGUAACAGUAUAGUAACAUGUCAUUUCCUUGCAACUACAUAAAAAAUUAUAUACUGAAGUACGUGCAUUCAAAUGCUAAUCAUUAUGAUUUUUUCAGUGAUUAUUCAACAAAAAAUGCAACGUGUCUAAUGCUUAUUGAAUGUAUUAAAAGUGUGAAAAGGGAAUAAAAAUGAAUGGUAAUGGUGGGUUUGAACUUAUACAUGUAUCCUGACACUUAUAUAACCGCGAUUCGACUAACAAAAACCUAGCCAAUCACUUGUAAGUUUAUUUUCUAUGUUGACUCACCUG
This is a long non-coding RNA of Dreissena polymorpha, 6158 nucleotides long. RefSeq lists it as uncharacterized. The transcript has 19 exons. NCBI's taxonomy places the organism in Eukaryota, Metazoa, Mollusca, Bivalvia, Myida, Dreissenidae. The record is from RefSeq and is a predicted model, not a curated record.